Molecule: ribosomal RNA, 301 nt
Filed under: uncultured bacterium
Lineage: Bacteria
Description: partial 16S ribosomal RNA
Rfam family: Bacterial small subunit ribosomal RNA
Source: RNAcentral
CAGUAGCCACGGUAAUACGUAGGUGGCAAGCGUUGUCCGGAAUUAUUGGGCGUAAAGGGCUCGCAGGCGGCUUCUUAAGUCUGAUGUGAAAGCCCCCGGCUCAACCGGGGAGGGUCAUUGGAAACUGGGAAACUUGAGUGCAGAAGAGGAGAGUGGAAUUCCACGUGUAGCGGUGAAAUGCGUAGAGAUGUGGAGGAACACCAGUGGCGAAGGCAACUCUCUGGUCUGUAACUGACGCUGAGGAGCGAAAGCGUGGGGAGCGAACAGGAUUAGAUACCCCCGUAGUCCCUGUCUCUUAUAA